Molecule: non-coding RNA, 59 nt
Filed under: Saccharopolyspora rectivirgula
Lineage: Bacteria; Bacillati; Actinomycetota; Actinomycetes; Pseudonocardiales; Pseudonocardiaceae
Description: Actino-pnp RNA
Rfam family: Actino-pnp RNA
Source: RNAcentral
CCGGUCCUCGGUAGUGGCUUACGGGGGGUUCGCCCCCGUGGGCUUCGAUCGAUGGCCGG